AGUGAACGCUGGCGGUAGGCCUAACACAUGCAAGUCGAACGGCAGCACAGUAAGAGCUUGCUCUUACGGGUGGCGAGUGGCGGACGGGUGAGGAAUACAUCGGAAUCUACUUUUUCGUGGGGGAUAACGUAGGGAAACUUACGCUAAUACCGCAUACGACCUACGGGUGAAAGCAGGGGAUCUUCGGACCUUGCGCGAUUGAAUGAGCCGAUGUCGGAUUAGCUAGUUGGCGGGGUAAAGGCCCACCAAGGCGACGAUCCGUAGCUGGUCUGAGAGGAUGAUCAGCCACACUGGAACUGGGACACGGUCCAGGCUCCUAAGGGAGGCAGCAGUGGGGAAUAUUGGACAAUGGGCGCAAGCCUGAUCCAGCCAUACCGCGUGGGUGAAGAAGGCCUUCGGGUUGUAAAGCCCUUUUGUUGGGAAAGAAAAGCAGCAGGUUAAUACCCCGCUGUUCUGACGGUACCCAAAGAAUAAGCACCGGCUAACUUCGUG
Molecule: ribosomal RNA, 492 nt
Filed under: uncultured bacterium
Lineage: Bacteria
Description: partial 16S ribosomal RNA
Rfam family: Bacterial small subunit ribosomal RNA
Source: RNAcentral